UGAAAAAGGAAGAAUUAUCUAGAAUGAUUCUCAAGUCUCCAGCAUGAGGGACCGGGUGUAAGUUAGCAACAUUAAUUAAUAUUGGAGAUGUUCAAAGAACAAGCACAGAACAUGGUGGAUAAAUAAGAAUAUACAGCUGCAUAUUAUUAAAUAAAUGUCUGGACCCGGCGCGGUGGCUCACAUCUGUAAUCCCAGCACUGUGGGAGGCUGAGGUGGGCAGCUCAUGAGGUCAGGAGUUCAAGACCAGCCUGGCCAACAUGGUGAAACCCCGUCUCUACAAAAGAUACAAAAAAUUAGUUGGGCAUGGUGGUGCACCCCUGCACUCCCAGCUACUCAGGAGUCUGAGACAGCAGAAUCGCUUGAACUCAGGAGGAAGAGGUUGCAGUGAGCCGAGAUCAUGCCAUCGCACUCCAGCAACAGGGCGAGACUCCAUCUCAAAAAAAAAAAAAAAGAAUAAAUAAAUAAAUAAAUAAAUAAAUAAAAAUAAAUAGUUUGUAAUCAUAUACUUACAUAGUAGGUGAUAGUAAGUAUAUAUUAAU
This 539-nucleotide long non-coding RNA is filed under the name Homo sapiens (human). RNAcentral's name for it is "HSALNT0313256". The record is from RNAcentral. Lineage: Eukaryota; Metazoa; Chordata; Mammalia; Primates; Hominidae.